AGCAGCUUCGUGUCCUUGAGGAGAACUGAAGAGAGAAAGAGAGAGAAAGAGCCCGCUAAUGCCCACUCAGGACGUUUCCCUGUGGGAACACGUGUUGCCUCUUACUACAGCUCCUGUGGAGGAUGCCAAAAGGAAAAAGAGUGACCGGGUCUCAGCUGCAUAACCAGAGAGGUGGAAGAGGUAGCCCAGGCCUUCCAGCUGGGUCCUUGCACCCUCAGAGUGUCAGACCAUGCCUCGUGCAGGAUUCAUGGCUGUGUUUGAUCAGAUACAAUGCGAAUACUGGUGUCCUGGUACAAGAGGUCAAGAGAUUCUCACCAUGCUGAAGCUGUCCUGAAUUGUUGCAGAGCCCGUGCAAAGUUCACCUCAGGAAUGAAGCACACUUUACACACCAUAUCCAUAUGGUUGAGUUCCAAAAGGAGAUGGAGCCCCAGAGGAACUGGAGAGGUGACAAGACACUGGCCCAGCUGGACCAGUUUGGUCCUGGUGAGGGAUGCAGGAACUGAGUGACUCCAGCAUCUUGCAACUCAUGUUGCCCUGAGAGUCCUCCUACCCCUGACAGCCCUCCAGUCAAGCCUGAGAUCCCCCACCUGGAGAAAGAACUUCACAAAUCAGAAAUGUCCUAAAUUGGAUCCUUUUUGGUACAUAAUUUUCAAAACUGUAAUUUCCAUUUGAGAACUAUUUGUCCUGAUCCUGAGCAUCAGCUGAACUCAAUUUUUUUUCCCCCUGUAGUUUAAUUUAGGCAGCAGAUGCCAUCAGAAUGUUAAUGCCUUCUUAAUUCUCACCUACAUGCUUUUAUUCUUAUUAAUUUG
Calypte anna (Anna's hummingbird) is the source of this 809-nucleotide long non-coding RNA. RefSeq lists it as uncharacterized. The record is from RefSeq and is a predicted model, not a curated record. The transcript has 5 exons. Lineage: Eukaryota; Metazoa; Chordata; Aves; Apodiformes; Trochilidae.